This 629-nucleotide ribosomal RNA is filed under the name uncultured bacterium. RNAcentral's name for it is "bacterial SSU rRNA". The stretch from base 1 to 543 matches the Rfam family "Bacterial small subunit ribosomal RNA", at positions 338 to 873 of the family's 1533-position model. The record is from RNAcentral.
CCUACGGGAGGCAGCAGUGGGGAAUUUUGGACAAUGGGCGCAAGCCUGAUCCAGCAAUGCCGCGUGCAGGAUGAAGGCCUUCGGGUUGUAAACUGCUUUUGUACGGAACGAAACGGUCCUUUCUAAUACAAGGGGCUAAUGACGGUACCGUAAGAAUAAGCACCGGCUAACUACGUGCCAGCAGCCGCGGUAAUACGUAGGGUGCGAGCGUUAAUCGGAAUUACUGGGCGUAAAGCGUGCGCAGGCGGUUAUAUAAGACAGAUGUGAAAUCCCCGGGCUCAACCUGGGACCUGCAUUUGUGACUGUAUAGCUAGAGUGCGGCAGAGGGGGGAUGGAAUUCCGCGUGUAGCAGUGAAAUGCGUAGAUAUGCGGAGGAACACCGAUGGCGAAGGCAAUCCCCUGGGCCUGCACUGACGCUCAUGCACGAAAGCGUGGGGAGCAAACAGGAUUAGAUACCCUGGUAGUCCACGCCCUAAACGAUGUCAACUGGUUNUUGGGUCUUCACUGACUCAGUAACGAAGCUAACGCGUGAAGUUGACCGCCUGGGGUAGGUACGGCGCGUAGUUAGUUAACGUACGAAGAGAGUUAGACGGCGNGAGACGNGCGACGGACGACGACGAGGGAGGAGG